Molecule: ribosomal RNA, 253 nt
Filed under: uncultured bacterium
Lineage: Bacteria
Description: partial 16S ribosomal RNA
Rfam family: Bacterial small subunit ribosomal RNA
Source: RNAcentral
UACAGAGGGGGCAAGCGUUGUUCGGAAUUACUGGGCGUAAAGGGCGCGUAGGCGGCCUGUUAAGUCGAACGUGAAAUCCCCGGGCUCAACCCGGGAACUGCGUCCGAUACUGGCAGGCUUGAAUCCGGGAGAGGGAUGCGGAAUUCCAGGUGUAGCAGUGAAAUGCGUAGAUAUCUGGAGGAACACCGGUGGCGAAGGCGGCAUCCUGGACCGGCAUUGACGCUGAGGCGCGAAAGCCAGGGGAGCAAACGGG